GUGGGGAAUAUUGGACAAUGGGCGGAAGCCUGAUCCAGCAAUGCCGCGUGUGUGAAGAAGGCCUGAGGGUUGUAAAGCACUUUCAAUGGGAAGGAAAAAAGCCGGGCUAAUACCCUGGUUCUUGACAUUACCUAUAGAAGAAGCACCGGCUAACUCCGUGCCAGCAGCCGCGGUAAUACGGAGGGUGCGAGCGUUAAUCGGAAUUACUGGGCGUAAAGCGUGCGUAGGCGGUUAUUUAAGUCAGAUGUGAAAGCCCCGGGCUUAACCUGGGAACUGCAUUUGAUACUGGGUAACUUGAGUUUGGUAGAGGAGAGUGGAAUUUCCGGUGUAGCGGUGAAAUGCGUAGAUAUCGGAAGGAACACCAGUGGCGAAGGCGGCUCUCUGGACCAAAACUGACGCUGAGGUACGAAAGCGUGGGUAGCAAACAGGAUUAGAAACCCGUGUAGUCC
RNAcentral lists this ribosomal RNA (449 nucleotides) under uncultured bacterium. RNAcentral's name for it is "bacterial SSU rRNA". It matches the Rfam family "Bacterial small subunit ribosomal RNA", at positions 354 to 796 of the family's 1533-position model. The record is from RNAcentral.